UCCCUUAGAUGUCCUGGGCCGCACGCGCGCUACACUGACAUGUUCAACAAGCCUCCUAGUUCGACAGGAUUUGGGAAAUCUUUGAACGCAUGUCGUGAUAGGGAUAGAUCAUUGCAAUUAUUGAUCUUGAACGAGGAAUUCCUAGUAAACGCGAGUCAUCAGCUCGCAUUGAUUACGUCCCUGCCCUUUGUACACACCGCCCGUCGCACCUACCGAUUGAAUGUUUCGGUGAAGAUUCCGGAUAGGACUUUUUUGAUUUAUUUCAAUUUUGUCUUAAAAGCUAUCUAAACCUCAACAUUUAGAGGAAGGUGAAGUCGUAACA
RNAcentral lists this ribosomal RNA (322 nucleotides) under uncultured eukaryote. RNAcentral's name for it is "partial 18S ribosomal RNA". It matches the Rfam family "Eukaryotic small subunit ribosomal RNA", at positions 1469 to 1796 of the family's 1831-position model. The record is from RNAcentral.